CAGUAGCCACGGGAACACAGAGGGUGCGAGCGUUAAUCGGAUUUACUGGGCGUAAAGCGUGCGUAGGCGGCUUCUUAAGUCGGAUGUGAAAUCCCUGAGCUUAACUUAGGAAUUGCAUUCGAUACUGGGAAGCUAGAGUAUGGGAGAGGAUGGUAGAAUUCCAGGUGUAGCGGUGAAAUGCGUAGAGAUCUGGAGGAAUACCGAUGGCGAAGGCAGCCAUCUGGCCUAAUACUGACGCUGAGGUACGAAAGCAUGGGGAGCAAACAGGAUUAGAUACCCCCGUAGUCCCUGUCUCUUAUAC
Molecule: ribosomal RNA, 301 nt
Filed under: uncultured bacterium
Lineage: Bacteria
Description: partial 16S ribosomal RNA
Rfam family: Bacterial small subunit ribosomal RNA
Source: RNAcentral